GUCUGGGAACAAGGCUAAUAGUGAACCACAUUGAACAAACUAAUUAUGCCAGAUGCACGGGUAGACAUUUGAAUCAUAUUUUAUGUUAAUGAAUAAACACGGUUGUUAUAUUUAUUAUUCAAAGGACAAUUAUUUAUGUAAAUUUAGAACUUACCUUAGGUUCAUUGCCUUGCAUUCAUCUAUCCAAGAUGUCAGGCUAACUUAGCACAAGGUGAUUUCUAUGCAACUUGGUUAACCAGUAAAUGACAGACAAUCUAGAUUGUUAGGGCAUUGAUUAUUCGAGAUGUUUCUGAUUAAUUAAUACAAAAUGGGUGCUCCCUAGCACAAACGAAGACUCUAACUGGUAGAAGCCAUUUUAUCAUUUUUCCAACUUUUGUUUUGCUAAGUGAAUGUAGUCACACUCAAUGCUCGAAAUAGAACCUAUGAACGACAAUUGCUAGACUGAUAGCUUGUGGUAAUAGGAUUGUGUACUGAAACAUAGGACAUUUCUGCAGUAUGCAAUAUCAUAUUCCACGUGCUCUAGUCUAUUGAUGCAGUUGCUUUUUGAUUGUCUAGACCAUCUUCAAAUGCUAUGCAACACCUCAGGUGUGGUAUUGGUCCCAUUACGAGUGUGUCUUGGAAUUCAACAGGUCGAUUACUUGCUGCUGCAUCCCCUGCACACACAAAAAUAAUGGUUUGGGCUGUAGUGUCUGAGCUUUCGGUGCCUCUGCACAGAUUUGGUGGUGUUGGAACUCCCUUGUUGUGGUCACCAGAUUGUUCUCAUGUUGUCUCAUCUUCAACUUCCAAGUUCUUCAUAGUUUGGGAAACACAGAUGUGGACGUGUGAAAAAUACUCAAAUAUGUGAUAUAGACUACAGUCGGUUUUGGUGGAGUCCGAGCGGACAGAUUUUAGUGUUUGCUGUUCGUGGCCAGUUGUGUCUUUAUUCUCUAUGGUUUAUUUCUUUCUCUGGAGAUUCGUCGACUGCGAGGCCAUCAGUUGCAAAUCAAGUCUGUGUAAAGUGGGUGGAUCUCAGUCCAUACACGUUUAGAACUCAAAUGUUGUGAUGUCACGUAAUCAUCAACAUACUACAUCGACCAACGAUCUUGCUUGUGAUUGCUGUGCUUGUAGGAUUGGUGAACAUGUCCAGUCUCUGGCUUGGGAUUCUCGAGCCAACAGUCAAGGAGCCGAAUUGAUUACCAUUUCUCGAACAAGAGAAACUCCUACAGUAGAAAUUAUUCCAAGUUGAUUCAUACGAGGUGCUAAUACUUCUGGUCUGCCACAUUGCAUCUCAUUUCAGAGUAACUUUUGAGCAUGGUGCUCUACUUAGUGUGGUGACGCAUCAAGUUCCCUUAGCAAGGCAGAGCGGCAAUAUGCACAAAUUGAACGAGAGGCGCUUGCCCUAUAUUGGGGAGUACGGAAAUUCCAGAUGUAUAUAGAGGGGCGACCGUUUGUUUUAGUGACCGAUCACAAACCGUUGAGAUACAUCAUGUCUCCCAGUAAGCCCCUUUCCGUGACAACAGCUGCCAUACUACAGCGCUGGUGCCGGUUUUUGGGCGCUUUCCAAUAUCAAAUUGAAUUCAAGACCAGCCACCAACACGCAAACUGUGACGGUCUUUCCCGACCACGGCUAGAAACCGAAACAAGCGGGACGGCGGAGGAUGGAGACGAGGUUACGCUUCUCCAUGUCAGUAUUGUCGAAAAACUACCAAUCAAGGCCAAAGACGGCCAAAGAUAUUCGACGAGCAACCCGAACUGACCCGGUACUGUCAUAAGUAAUGGAACUGGUACAACAAGGCUGGAAAACCAGUCCGCAACAGUCAGAGGUAAAGCCGUUUUACUGCCGCCGGGACGAGUUAACAGUACACCAAGGAAUCCUCAUGUGGGGAACUAGAGUCAUAGUACCUGCCAGUCUAAGACACUAUGUAUUGCAGACACUGCACGAAGGCCAUCUUGGUAUAGUGAAAACUAAAGGCUUCGCCCGUUCCUUCGUAUGGUGGCCUCGCAUCGACCAAGACAUCGAGGAACUAAUUUAGGGCUGCAGGGGUUGUCAAGAGACCGCUGUUUCUCCCAACGAGCUCCUAUUCAUCGUUGGGAAUGCCCCGCGUCGGCGUGGCAACGUCUACACGUAGACUUUGCCGGACACAUGCUCGGAAGGAUGUACUUGGUUAUAUUAGACGCUUAUAGCAAAUGGCCUGAGAUCGUGGAGAUAAAAACUGCGACGGCCGAGGAGACUGUCACACAACGAGCAGUGAUUGCCCGUAUGGGGAUCCCACACCAGAUUGUGUACCUCCGAAGUUUUCAGGAGAUUUACGAAGGCAAACGGAAUCAAACGUAUGACUGGAGCAUCGUAUCACCCUUCAACGAACGGGAUAGCGGAACGCUUGGUGCAAAGUUUCAAACGCGCUGUAAAGUCCGGCCACACCGAGAUUACAACACAGCACAAACUAGACAAAUUUUUGUUCGCCUACCGUACCGCUCCACAUGAAACGGCGGAACUGAGCCCAGCAGAACUCAUGUUCGAACGCAAUCUGCGAACUAAGUUGGAUUUGACGAGACCGCGCGUAAAAAAACGGUAGAUGACAAGACACUAAAGAGCGGGAGCAAACCACUGAGAUCGUUUCAAGCUGGACAGAGCGUAAUGGCCAGGAACUAUAGGCAAGGGCCGAAAUGGCUACCAGGAACAGUCAUAGAACGAACAGGAUCAGUCUCUUACGCCGUACUUGUCAACAAGUCAGUUCGCAGGCAACACACUGACCAGCUGCGAUCGGAUAUAACACUGUGGUGGGGGAGCGAACGAAAGGACACAAUCCGACGGAAUACCAGGAAACACUGGUCGCAACAGGAAUUAUAGCACCCUCAAGGUGGAUAGUUCAGACAACACCAGUGACGUCACCGGUACCACCACCAACCGACACGACAACGCUCGACGAGACACUCUCGCAAGAAGACACAGCAGUAGAGUCACUGUUCAAAGAAGACAAUGCAGUCGAAUCACCGCUCAAAGCAAGAACCAACCGAUCUGGAAGAAAUAUAAGGACACCAGAACGGCUAAAGACUACCAGGUCAUGAUGCAAGAGACUUUGGUUUAGUCAGUAAUGGUAGAGUAGAGACACCAAGAAACUACUGCUAUAAUUCUUUCGUUGUGUUACGGUUCUUAACUAGGCCUAGGGAAUGUAGGGUAGUGCAUAGUGCGCAUGCGUGAGUGACACACGGAGAAUCGUUAUCUUAGGUAAAUCCAG
Corticium candelabrum is the source of this 3218-nucleotide long non-coding RNA. RefSeq lists it as uncharacterized. NCBI's taxonomy places the organism in Eukaryota, Metazoa, Porifera, Homoscleromorpha, Homosclerophorida, Plakinidae. The transcript has 5 exons. The record is from RefSeq and is a predicted model, not a curated record.